Molecule: long non-coding RNA, 3105 nt
Filed under: Mus musculus (house mouse)
Lineage: Eukaryota; Metazoa; Chordata; Mammalia; Rodentia; Muridae
Description: lincRNA-EC202
Source: RNAcentral
GGGAAGAGGGAUCGCACUUCCUCAGAAGGCUAGAGGUCCCUCCCUCAGCCGUCACGGCUCCCCCCCAUCCCCCGUGGCCCUUAAUCCCCUGGUGCGGGGGCUUGUUUCUAAGGCGCUGAGCCCUUCACCUUUCCGGAGCCCGGCAUGGUGCUGGCAACGCCUCUCUCAUCGCCUCGUUUUAAAAAUAAUGCGUUAAAAAAAUUCAGUUUGCUAUGCGAACAGCAUUCCAACAGUACACAAUUAUAUCCGAAAUAGUUAAGCAAUAAAAGAAAAAAAAAAUGACGGGCGUUGUUGAGGCAGGAGGAUUACUGCGAAUUCUACUCCACCUUGGGCUACAUACCGAGAUUGUGUCAAAAACCACGGAGUGGGGGAAAUUAAGUGAAGUAAUCGUCUACGUUGGGAACCAAAGAUUCCAAGAAAAUGCCCCAAUGUGUGCUGCUUCUAGGAUCCUAGAGAUCCAAAGACUCCUGCAUCCUUCCACAAACCUUUUACAUCACCUGAGAUCUACAUAACUGUGUUUAUGACAGCAACAGCUCCACUUCUAAGUACCAACUUGUCAGAACACGAAAGAAUGGAGUCGUAUGAAGAUAUUAGUGCUUGUGAGGAAACGCCAAGAAAACGCGAGCCUUGUGAUCUCAGUUCCUUCAAACAUGGCGCCAUUCUUAGAAUGUGCGUUCAUGCUUCUCCCAGAUGUAGCCCGUAGAGUGGGUUCGCUUCAGAUUACUCAUUAAACUGCCUAUUGUUAUUUGCUUAUAUGCCUUUAUGGAAAACAUGUUUUUGCCAUGUGCAAUUUGUCCUUGUGAUUGCACACUUUACCAUGUGACUCCUCUGAACACUCAGAGUAUAAAUUGAAUGGUUCUCUGAAGAAAGCUGGCUAUUGGAUGAGACUUUAGUGUGCCUCAUUUAUCAGCUGCACUCUCUCAGGUCCCAUCACCUCCGGGGCAGCGACACCAGCUUUCUGUCUAGUUACUUGCUUUAUUGCCAUGAAAAGAGAGCCAAAGCAACAGAAGGAGUAAAGGAUUUCCUGUGCUUUCUGUUUUACUGAAAGUUCACCAUGGGGGUGAAGCCAUGGCAGCAGAGCAGGAGUGUACUGCAUCUGUGUGCAAGGAGCAGAGAGAGAUGAAGGCUCACCAUGGAGGUGAAGGCAGUGGGGCAGGAGGAGCACUGCAUCUGUGUGCAGGGAGCAGAGAGAGAUGAAGGCUCACCAUGGAGGUGAAGGCAGUGGGGCAGGAGGAGCACUGCAUCUGUGUGCAGGGAGCAGAGAGAGAUGAAAGCUCACCAUGGAGGUGAAGGCAGUGGGGCAGGAGGAGCACUGCAUCUGUGUGCAGGGAGCAGAGAGAGAUGAAGGCUCACCAUGGAGGUGAAGGCAGUGGGGCAGGAGGCGCACUGCAUCUGUGUGCAGGGAGCAGAGAGAGAUGAAGGAAUGCUGAUGUUUAGCUUUCUUCUUUUUAUUUAUUGUAGAAACCCUGCUUUUGCCCACAUUUAGAUGGGCUUUUCCCACCUCAGUAACUCAGCAUAGACACUUCCUAACAUAAUGUCCAUGGCCUUCCCUUCUAGGUGUUUUAGAUUUUGUCAAGUUGGUGACGUUAAUCAUCAAGAAUUGUAUUAAAAUUCCAGAUCAUGGAAAAUGGAUGUUAUGUAAAUUAAUUUUAUUUUUGCAAUACUAAUGAUUGAUCCCAGAGUCUUGCAUGUGCUACCAAGUGCUGAACCACUGAGCUACACUCCCAAAGAAGAAACAGAUUCUUUAUAAAGGUAAUAUAGACAUCGGUUGUACCAAGUGCUUCAUUUGUGUUCGGUUGUUUAUAUGAGACACUGUGUCAUGUAGUCCAAGUGCCCAGGCCAUUGAACUUUUGACCCUCCUGCCUCAGACCUGCUAGUAUUAGAGGCUUAAGCCACCACACAAACUGAGCAGUGGUCUCUCUUAUGUUAAUUCAUUUAAUUCACAGAGCCUCACUGCUAUUGCUAACUUGACCGGACCCUCCCCACCUCUGUCAUGGGUAGCUGAAACAGAGGUUAUAGAAAACUGAUUCAAACUAAUUCAGUCUGAUUUUUCUCUCCCAGAAUUUAUAGGUAGGUUUAGUUAGUUUCAACCUAGAAAGGUAUGACACAGACAAACAGACCUUUGAGCCACACACAGUCGGAUGUGGGAAUCUUUGAAGGAGUGCACAGACUUACCCACGUCUCCAAAUAAACUGCUAAUUUAAGCCCACCCAAACCACCUCUGGCAUAAAACACUGGUUUUGCAAGUUUUCAAGUAGCAGUUUCUCCCCAUGUAUCCUAUAAAUUUCUUAUUUAAUUCAUUUGUUUCUUUUUUCCCUCUUUACAAUUGUAACUGCUUAUUCAUAGCCCCCUUUACGUCAAUCUGUAGAAAUUCUUUCAUCAGCUGAGACGGCAAACGUCAGUGGCGUAUAAAUGUGACAUCAGCCUUUGAAGUGCAUUCCAGAACAAUGUUUCCUAUUGGAUCGUUCCGUUCUAUAACUCAGUUUUGGUGGUGAUUCAUAUGAGGAUGACAGUGAUUCAUCUGAUUUCAGUGAGCCACAGGAUCUCAAAGAAGAACCUCACGUCCUACAGCCCAAUUUAAAAAGAAGUUCUCACAUCUGAGUAAGAGCAGUUACAUUCCAAUACAUUAAACAGAGCCAGGCAGAGUGACUCAUGCCUGGAGCCCCAGCAUCCCAGAGGCAGGAAGGUUAAGAGUUCAAGGCCAGCCUGCACUACAAAGACUACGGGCUCUGUCUCAAAAACAAACAAACAAACAAACAAACAAACACAAGCAGCAGUAACAACAACAACCACCACCACUAAAGCACACUUUGGAAUGAAGAAAGCCAUUUUCAAGAGGACUACUUUUUACUUAUAAGAUGGUAAUCAGUAGAGGACACAACUGAAUAAGGGUCUGCAAUAGAAGAGUCAACGUUGAAAGGAAAUUGAUAUUUCAUUAUUAAUGCGAGCACAUGAUUCUUUCCCAAAGUCUGUCUUACCAGACAGAUUUAAGAACACAAUUGCUGGGGUUUUAGACAUCAUAUAAUGUAUCACAUAAUCCAAUGCCGCCUACUGCAGAACCUCACUGGAGAUGGACCACCAUGUUCAAUAAAAAAAAUGUCAAGC